RNAcentral lists this transfer RNA (77 nucleotides) under Candidatus Handelsmanbacteria bacterium RIFCSPLOWO2_12_FULL_64_10. RNAcentral's name for it is "tRNA-Arg". It matches the Rfam family "tRNA". Rfam says of the family: Transfer RNA (tRNA) molecules are approximately 80 nucleotides in length. Their secondary structure includes four short double-helical elements and three loops (D, anti-codon, and T loops). Lineage: Bacteria; Candidatus Handelsmaniibacteriota. The record is from RNAcentral. RNAcentral also lists the same sequence under 1 other name.
GCGCCUGUAGCUCAGAUGGAUAGAGCGUCGGACUUCGAAUCCGCAGGUCGGGCGUUCGAGUCGCCCCAGGCGCGCCA